This 479-nucleotide long non-coding RNA is filed under the name Dasypus novemcinctus (nine-banded armadillo). RNAcentral's name for it is "lncRNA (ENSDNOG00000051660.1)". The record is from RNAcentral. Lineage: Eukaryota; Metazoa; Chordata; Mammalia; Cingulata; Dasypodidae.
GGAAGCCGCGGCCCUGCCGGAAACUGGGCGCCGCGUCAGCAGGGGGAACGAAAUCGCGGGUCCCUGAGGGCCUCGCCGCUGGGGAGCCCUGACUUCAACCUGUGCCACGAGAGUGCCGAGUCCAAAGGCGCUUUUUCUGGCCCGAGGGCUGAAGGAGUUUCGCCCUCAGAAGCAGAGGCUUCUGAAACAUUUGCCUUAAACUGCCAUGACAGAUCCUUCCACGUUCUGGACCGUUCCCAAGCGUUUCACAGGAUUGUUUAGGAGCGAGAUCCCGAAAUAAAUUCAGAGAAACGGAAACACGGAAUCAUGAAUAGAGCCCCCCAAAUAAUGGAACCUCUCCAGGGAAUGAGUCAGGAACACCGCAGGCCAGGCCGAGCCCUUUUGGAGCCUAAGGGAGAAGGAUGAUGCUCAUCUUAAAGCAUUUUAAUGGUGAGUUUUCCCAAAAAUGUUAAAGUAGUUAAAAGUACUGUAAGUAUUUG